UACGUAGGGUGCAAGCGUUGUCCGGAAUUAUUGGGCGUAAAGAGCUCGUAGGCGGUUUGUCGCGUUGUCCGUGAAAACUCACAGCUCAACUGUGGGCGUGCGGGCGAUACGGGCAGACUGGAGUACUGCAGGGGAGACUGGAAUUCCUGGUGUAGCGGUGGAAUGCGCAGAUAUCAGGAGGAACACCGGUGGCGAAGGCGGGUCUCUGGGCAGUAACUGACGCUGAGGAGCGAAAGCGUGGGGAGCGAACAGG
This 253-nucleotide ribosomal RNA is filed under the name uncultured bacterium. RNAcentral's name for it is "partial 16S ribosomal RNA". It matches the Rfam family "Bacterial small subunit ribosomal RNA", at positions 524 to 776 of the family's 1533-position model. The record is from RNAcentral.